GGAAGUAAAAGUCGUAACCAAGGUUUCCGUAGGUGAACCUGCGGAAGGAUCAUUAUAGUAAUAGGCCCCUUGUGGGUCUAAUUUGAGCUGUGCGCCUUUUUGGCUUGCACGCUCAAAAACACGUGAUUCUCACACCUGUGCACAUUUCAGAUGUGGUGACGCAUCUGCCCUUUUUUAUACAAACACAAAAGUUUAUGAAUGUCAUUUUCAAUAUGAAAAAUACAACUUUCAACAACGGAUCUCUUGGCUCUC
This 252-nucleotide unclassified non-coding RNA is filed under the name plant metagenome. RNAcentral describes it as "partial contains small subunit ribosomal RNA, internal transcribed spacer 1, and 5.8S ribosomal RNA". The stretch from base 1 to 55 matches the Rfam family "Eukaryotic small subunit ribosomal RNA", at positions 1778 to 1831 of the family's 1831-position model. The record is from RNAcentral.